Oncorhynchus tshawytscha (Chinook salmon) is the source of this 1016-nucleotide long non-coding RNA. Lineage: Eukaryota; Metazoa; Chordata; Actinopteri; Salmoniformes; Salmonidae. The record is from Ensembl.
AGCGGGUGAGAGAAGGAGACUCAAUGCUGAAGUUUUGGAGCCUGGAGCACAGAGGAAGGCUUCUCUCCGGAUUGUGUUGGAAGCAAGGAAGAAGAGUUGUAUUAUACCUGGAGAAGGAUGUAGCUUUACACACCACUCACUCGCCCACAGUGAGGGGAACUGUGGCGAUUCAGCUCACAUAAACCCAAACACCAAUGCUAAGGACCUGAGCCCUAGGACCAUGCCUCAGGUCUACCUGGCCUGAUGACUCCUUGCUGUCCCCAGUCCACUUGGUCAUGCAGCUGCUCAAGUUUCAACUCUUCUGCCUGCGGCUAUGGAACCCAGACCUGUUCAUUGGACGUGCUACCUUGUCCCGGACAUGCUAUUUUGACUCUCUCUCCACCGCACCUGCUGUCUCUGAAUGAUCGGCUAUGAAAAGCCAACUGACAUUUACUCCUGAGGUUGCACUGAGGUUGCACUUACUCCUGUUGCACCCUCUACAACCACUGUGAUUAUUAUUAUCUGACCCUGCUGGUCAUCUAUGAACGUUUGAACAUCUUGGCCAUGUUCUGUUAUAAUCUCCACCUGGCACAGCCAGAAGAGAACUGGCCACUCCUCAGAUUCUGGUUCCUCUCUAGAUUUCCUCCUAGGUUCUGGCCUUUCUAGGGAGUUUUUCCUAGACACUGUACAUCUGCAUUGCUUGCUGUUUGGGGUUUUAGGCAGGGUUUCUGUACAGCACUUUGUGACAUCGGCUGAUGUAAAAAAAGGCUUUAUAAAUACAUUUGGUUGAUUGAUUGAUUACAUUUGAUUGUAUGGCAAUUGCUCGGCCUCCGACCUCAAGGCACUACAGAGUGUAGUGUGUACGGCCCAGUACAUCCCUGGGCCCAAGCUUCCUGCCAUCCAGGACCUCUAUACCAGGCGGUGUCAGAGGAAGGCCCUAAAAAUUGUCAAAGUAAGUAAUCGUUUCACUGUAAGGUUGUAUGUGACAAAUACAAUUUGAUUUGAUUUGACAAAGAAAUCAUACAAAAAAAUGUCCC